GACAGAGGUGCCGAGCGUUAGGCGGAAUCACUGGGCUUAAAGCGUGUGUAGGCGGGCGGGCAAGUACCUUGUGAAAUCCCACGGCUCAACCGUGGAACGGCUGGGGAUACUGCCUGUCUUGAGCCAACUAGGGGCGAGCGGAACAGACGGUGGAGCGGUGAAAUGCGUAGAUAUCAGGAGGAACACCGGUGGUGUAGACGGCUCUCUGGACCGUAACUGACGCUGAGGCACGAAAGCGUGGGUAGCAAACAGG
This 253-nucleotide ribosomal RNA is filed under the name uncultured bacterium. Its description in RNAcentral is "partial 16S ribosomal RNA". It matches the Rfam family "Bacterial small subunit ribosomal RNA", at positions 524 to 776 of the family's 1533-position model. The record is from RNAcentral.